Molecule: transfer RNA, 77 nt
Filed under: Clostridiales bacterium
Lineage: Bacteria; Bacillati; Bacillota; Clostridia; Eubacteriales
Also listed under: 2 other names
Description: tRNA-Pro
Rfam family: tRNA
About the family: Transfer RNA (tRNA) molecules are approximately 80 nucleotides in length. Their secondary structure includes four short double-helical elements and three loops (D, anti-codon, and T loops).
Source: RNAcentral
CUGGGUGUAGCGCAGUUUGGUAGCGUGCUUGAAUGGGGUUCAAGAGGUCGCAAGUUCGAUUCUUGUCACCCAGACCA